RNAcentral lists this transfer RNA (69 nucleotides) under Ictidomys tridecemlineatus (thirteen-lined ground squirrel). RNAcentral's name for it is "Spermophilus tridecemlineatus (thirteen-lined ground squirrel) tRNA". It matches the Rfam family "tRNA". Rfam says of the family: Transfer RNA (tRNA) molecules are approximately 80 nucleotides in length. Their secondary structure includes four short double-helical elements and three loops (D, anti-codon, and T loops). Further hydrogen bonds mediate the characteristic L-shaped molecular structure. tRNAs have two regions of fundamental functional importance: the anti-codon, which is responsible for specific mRNA codon recognition, and the 3' end, to which the tRNAs corresponding amino acid is attached (by aminoacyl-tRNA synthetases). tRNAs cope with the degeneracy of the genetic code in two manners: having more than one tRNA (with a specific anti-codon) for a particular amino acid; and 'wobble' base-pairing, i.e. permitting non-standard base-pairing at the 3rd anti-codon position. Lineage: Eukaryota; Metazoa; Chordata; Mammalia; Rodentia; Sciuridae. The record is from Rfam by way of RNAcentral.
GGGGUUGUGGCUCAGUGGUGGAGCUCUUGCCUAGUAUGUAAGAGGCAUUGGGUUCUAUUCUCAGCACCA